AUUGAACGCUGGCGGCAGGCUUAACACAUGCAAGUCGAGCGGAGAUGAGGUGCUUGCACCUUAUCUUAGCGGCGGACGGGUGAGUAAUGCUUAGGAAUCUGCCUAUUAGUGGGGGACAACAUUCCGAAAGGAAUGCUAAUACCGCAUACGUCCUACGGGAGAAAGCAGGGGAUCUUCGGACCUUGCGCUAAUAGAUGAGCCUAAGUCGGAUUAGCUAGUUGGUGGGGUAAAGGCCUACCAAGGCGACGACCUGUAGCGGGUCUGAGAGGAUCAUCCGCCACACUGGGACUGAGACACGGCCCAGACUCCUACGGGAGGCAGCAGUGGGGAAUAUUGGACAAUGGGGGGAACCCUGAUCCAGCCAUGCCGCGUGUGUGAAGAAGGCCUUAUGGUUGUAAAGCACUUUAAGCGAGGAGGAGGCUACUGAGACUAAUACUCUUGGAUAGUGGACGUUACUUGCAGAAUAAGCACCGGCUAACUCUGUGCCAGCCGCCGCCGUAA
This 501-nucleotide ribosomal RNA is filed under the name uncultured bacterium. RNAcentral describes it as "partial 16S ribosomal RNA". It matches the Rfam family "Bacterial small subunit ribosomal RNA", at positions 30 to 523 of the family's 1533-position model. The record is from RNAcentral.